GCUCCAUGGAGGCCCCUGAGGUCAGCGGAGGGUCAAGCUCCGCCUUGACCUGGGAGACGCCUCAGCUCUCCGGUUGGGCUCCUUGCGGCCUGAGUUGCUCAGAUCUGGCGUCUGAGCGCUGGCGGCCUAAGGACUCACACAGCCCUCCCGCCAUGGCUGUGGGCCACCCGUGAGCCCUGCAACCGCGGGUCCCACUUCACAGGUGAGGACAUGGGGGCCUGGAGAGGGAGCUGCCUUGCUGGGGCCCCCGCUGUAGGUCCCGAGCCAGGUUCGGAGAGCCCGCGUGCAGUUUGUUGUUUUUCGUUAGAAAGGUGAGCAGCGUCCUGCCCAGCCUGUCCUGCCCACGCGUUCCUUCCUCCCCGGUUCUUCCCACGUCUGCUCUGAGGUCAGGGGCAUGGCCGAUGGGGCUGGAAGGAUGACACUGGGGGUGAGAGGAGGGCGUAGGUGGGACACCCCAGAUGAGUGGGCAGCAGCCUCUCCAGACCCCCUUGAGUGCCCCCGCUCUGGGCACAAAGCCAGUUCCUGCAGCGUCCCCGAGUCUCCCAGCCUGCAAGGCCCUGGCCAGGAGGGGUGCCCCCAGGCCGCCCUGCAGGACAGAGUCCCUCUGGGGAUGGGUCUGUCCGGAGAGCAGCACCAGGACAGGGACGCUGCCCAGCUACCUCCAGGCCCAGGGAGCGACCCCAGGCCCCCCUUCUUCUCUGUCAGCUUUUCCUGAGGACAAGAAAAGGAGCGGGAAGUGUGGAUGUAAAAAUAGAAGCUCCGGCCAGUCAGGACAGGCCUGGAGGUAGCUGGCCUCACAUCUUCCUUCUUCUGCAGGCGGGGCUCCGGCACGCCUGGUGUGGGCAGGGUGUCCUCUGGGCCCCCCUCCCCUUGAGCUGUGCAGGCACCCCCAGGGCCCCCAUACCGGGAGGCACACAGAAGGGGCCACGAGCCUUCCGGGCAGGCACUACGCUGGGGCUGCUGCGUGUUUUCCGUGCACUGGAGCCUCCAGCUGCUGGAAGGAGCUUCCUCCCAGGGCUCACUGAGGCUGGGGGAGCCACACUCAUGGCAUCCGGCUGGUGUGCCCCCAUCCAGCUCGAGAGGUGGUGUGUGUGUGUGUGUGUGUACUCAGUCGUGUCGGACUCUUUGGGACCCUAUGGACUGCGUCCCCCACCAGGGAAUUCUCCAGGCAAGAACACUGGAGUGGGUUGCCAUUUCCUACUCCAGGGAAUCUUUCCAACCCAGGGAUCGAACCCGGGUCUCUUGCAUCUCCUGCACUGGCAGGCAGAUGAAUUCUUUUCCCCUGCGCCAUCUGGGAAGCCCCCAUCCAGUUAGAGAGGUGGAGCCUCCCUUACCUCUGCCCAAAUCCCCACUCAGAGGGAUGACCCCUCUGGAGCUGCCUCUGACCUCUAAUCUUUCCCAGGUGGGUUAAACGGGAGGUCUGGGAGGAGGUGGGGUCAGGCGGAUCUUCUGAAGAUCUUUCCAAAGACCAGCAAG
Molecule: long non-coding RNA, 1476 nt
Organism: Bos taurus (domestic cattle)
Lineage: Eukaryota; Metazoa; Chordata; Mammalia; Artiodactyla; Bovidae
Source: Ensembl